AUGGGAGUAAAAUGAAUACUUAACUAAGCCCACAACCUUGAUUAGAGUAAUAAGACAGAGCAUGGGGGCUGAUUAAGGAUUCCGAGAAAGAUGCCUUUAGGCAUGGGGAUUUAAGGGGUAUGGGCAGACUGCGACUUGCAGGAAUCAAAGCAGUUGGACUGACCUGGGGUUUGGCUUAUAAAUAAGCUGUUUUAGAACAUAAAAAGGGCUGGACUUUUGAGUCUUCAGAAAAAGAAAGAAAACAUAAAGAAAUUUUCAGAAUAUUGUAACCAAACACUGUCUGAAAGCUGCUUAGGAGUUCAGAUUGGUCGAGCUGUCUUGGCCAAUUGUUGUUGGUUAUUUGCCGAGCUGUUUGUGAUUGUUGAACUGUUAGUGCUGUUACAUUGAAUACUCUGGUUUUUUUGCUGGGUCACCAUUCUGUUUUCUGGGAUUGCUUGAUUGUUGCUCGACCAACUAUUGGGUUUCCCUUGUUGUUGAGACUACUGCUGUUUAUCUGUGAACUAUUGGUGACAUUUGUUGCUGAUUGUUGAUUGCUGCUUACCUGCUGUUGCUGUAUUUGCUGUAUACUGCUCAGCUGAUCAUUCUCCUUCUUCUUUUGCUUUGCUAUACCAGGUACACGAUUAAUAAUAUCAAUGUAACUUGAAAGUUGAGCAUGAAUACAAAAGAGAAGAUCUGAAGAUGUUUUUUUAUACAUAGACUGUUAUAUUGAAUAUCAUGUAAUGUAUAAUAGUUUACAUUUUUGUUUGGAUACUGAAGGUAGCUUGCACGCCUAGUAGAUAUCAAUGUAUGGUGAUUGAAUAUUAGUUUGUAUAUGUAGGCUUGUAGAUAAAAGUAUUCCCAAUGCAGUAGGUUGUAUCUUAGACUUAGUCUAAUUGUGUAGCAUAUUCUUUAAUACAUGCCAAGCAUGAAAACUAUCCAUUACUAGUUAAGUUCUUUCCUUUUUUGAUAAACUGUCUCGUAUAACUGGUAAAUCACAAUUUAGAACAAGGAACACAAAGCUUACAAUCUCAACCUCAUGAAGGUCGAGCCCAAGUCGAAGCAAACUGAGUAGACCUUCAUCGGAAAAACCGUGGCCCAGGCCUGGCCCAUCCUGCAUGAGCUGGGCUUGGGACCAUAAGAUUCGAUCGCUUGCCCGCGGGCGCGACCCUGUUUCUGAUUUUUGUAAAAAGGGUAUUCUGAAUCUUGCCAUAAAUAACUCGCAAGCAUGUAAUUAACUAGGCUAUCUCUGCUUUCAAUCAGUAGAGACGAACGCGACAAGAAACGUAGUUGCUAUAGGAUAUCCCUUUAAAAUAAAAAUGAGACGAGCCUCGCUAAAUAAAUCACACAUCGCCGGGGCCCUCAAUAAAUACAUAACAAUUGACUAGACUCUCGAUUAGGCCGUUUAAUGAACCUUCACGGCCUCUUCCUAAAAUAAUAAUACGUUAGUCUCUUUAGGAUACACUUUAAUAAAUCCUACCUUCUUAAAUCCGGGUGCGCAUUUAUGUGACUCAAAUCCAAAUCUCAACGGAGUCGAAAUGUGUUUCUAAUCACGGGUACAUUGAUUGUGACGUGAUUCGAGAUGCGUGUCCAUGACGUUGCAAAUUCCUUUAAAAAUAAGAAUGAGAUGAGCCUCGCCGAAUAAAAAUACAAAAUUGCGAGGCCCUUAGUAAAUAUUUGCUUUCAAAUUGCUUAGAUUCCGGGAUGGACCGUUUUUUUUGCAAAAUUCCACGGCCCUACCCAAAGUAAAUGAUACGCUAGUCGCUUUAGCCGCGCCUUUAAUAAUUUAAUUUUCUUAAACUCGGGUGCGCAUUUAUGUGACCCAAAUCCAAAUCUCAACAUAGUUGAAAUACGCCAACAACCAUGGGUGCAUUGAUGUGACGUGGUUCGAGAUGUGUUUCCACGAUGUUGCAAUUCUUGAUAAAAAUAACAGUAAGUGAUAAAAGCGGUUAAAAGUUAAAAUUUGCACAUAAGUUCAUACUUGCAUAAAAUCAGAUAACCAAGCCGAAUAUGACAGUUGAGCGACCGUGCUAGAACCACGAAACUCAGGAAUGCCUAACACCUUCUCCCGGGUUAACAGAAUUCCUUAUCCGGAUUUCUAGUACGCAGACUGUAAUAUGGAGUCAUUCUUUUCCUCGAUUCGGGAUUAAAAUUGGUGACUUGGGACACCCUAAAUCUCCCAAGUGGCGACUCUAAAAUAAAUAAACAAAUCCCGUUUCGAUUGUCCUUUAAUUGGAAAAAACUCCCUUGUACCCUCUCGGGUACGUAAAAAGGAGGUGUGACAAAAGCAGCCUUAAGCUUCUGAAAGCUCAACUCACACGCGUCCGACCAUCUGAAUGGGGUACCCUUCUAGGUCAAUCUGGUCAAUGAGGCUGCUAAAGAUGAAAACCCAUCCACGAACCGACAAUAAUAACCCGCCAAACCUAGGAAACUCCAGAUUUCUGUAGUUGACGUAAGUCUAGGUCAGUUCUGAACUGCCUCAAUCUUCUUAGGAUCCACCUUGAUGCCCUCAGCGAUACAAUGUGCCGCAAAAAGGCGACCGAGUCUAACCAAAACUCACACUUUGAAAACUUGGAAUAUAACUUGCCAUCUCUCAGAGUCUGAAGUGUUAUCCGAAGAUGCUACUCCUGCUCCUCUCGACUGCGAGAAUAGAUCAGGAUAUCAUUAAUGAAUACAGUCACAAAGGAAUCCAAAUAGGGCUUGAACACCCGGUUCAUCAAAUUCAUAAAUAUUGUUAGGAUAUUUGUCAACCCAAAUGACAUCACUAGGAACUCAUAAUGCCCAUACGGAGUCCAAAAAGUUGUCUUAGGAACAUCGAAUGCCCUAAUCUUUAAUUGAUGGUAGCUAGACCCCAAAUCAAUCUUUGAAAACACUUUGGCACCCUGAAGCUGAUCAAAUAAGUCAUCACUCCUUGGCAACAGAUACCUGUUCUUGACGGUGACUUUGUUCAACUGCCGAUAAUUUAUGCACAUCCUCAUCGAUCCAUCUUUCUUCUUCACGAACAAUACAGGCGCACCCUAGAGCGAGACACUAGGUCUAGUGAAGCCUUUAUCAAGCAAGUCUUGCAACUGCUCCUUCAAUUCUUUCAACUUUGGCGGGGCCAUAGGGUAUGGCAGAAUAGAAACGGGCUGAGUGCCCGGAGCCAAGUCAAUACUGGUAUUCUCGACAGAUUUGUAAGAAAUACCCCUGGAAACUCGCGAACAACGGGUAUAGAAUCCAUGGAAGAAACCUCCGCACUAGAAUCGCGAACAUAAGCCAAAUAGGCUAGACACCCCUUCUCGACCAUAGGUCGAGCCUUCACAUAAGAGAUAACCCUGCUGGUAGAAUGGCCAAGAGUCCCCCUCUACUCUAGUCGAGGAAACCCCGGCAAGGCUAAGGUCACCAUCUUGGUGUGAUAAUCCAAUAUAGCAUGAUAAGGUGACAACCAAUCCAUACCCAAGAUGACAUCAAAAUCUAUCAUAUCAAGAAGUAGGUGAUCUAGCUAGUCUCAAGACUCCCAAUUGUAACCACACACGAGCGAUAGACGUGAUAUACAAUAAUAGAAUCUUCACAGAUGUGGACACAUACAGAAGAGCACUCAAGGAAUCACGAGGCACUACCAUAUAUGAAGCAAAAUAGGAUGACACAUAGGAAUAAGUAGAUCUCGAAUCAUAUAAAACUAAAGCAUCUCUAUGGAAAACUGGAACAAUACCUGUGAUAAUAGCGUCAGAUGACUUAACCUCAAGCCUAGUUGGGAAAGCAUAAAAUCAGGGCUGACCCCUACCUCUCUGAACUACGUCUCUGGGACGACAUCUAGUUGGCUGGCCUCCACCUCUAACGGCCUCACCCCACUCUAGCUACCUAACCCUUGCCUCUAGCUAGCUAAGUGGGCUGUGGAGCAACCGAUCUUGGAAUCAUGGCACGAGAACUGUGCUAUGGCAUGUCGCCCAAUAAUCUCGGACAAGACCUCCUAAUAUGCCCAAUAACACCACACUCAAAACACACAUCCUUCUGCUGUGGCUGCUGAAGUUGAAUUUGACCCAAACGAGCCGGAUAACCAUGGUGAUAACUCUGAAUCAGAGGAGUAUUGAUAGGAGCUGAUGGUGCACUGUAGGCUGGCUGCCCAGAAUAAGGCACAUAAGGACCACGACUCCCUGAAGCAAUGUGAGAUGCCUGAAGUGCUGAAUGAAAUGGCUUGGGAGGAUGGCCUCUACUGAAAGUAACCCUGCCUCCAGAUGAGGCACCACUGAAACCACCAGAAUGACGAGGCCUCUUAUUCGACACCUGCCCCCUCUCCUGAGUACAAACCAUCUCGAUCUGCCUAGCAAUGUUUGUAGCCGUCUGGAAGGAAAUAUCACUCCCGGUCUCCUAGGCAUCUGUAGCCUGAUAGUAUAAGUGAUUAUGUCAAUAAAUCUCCUUACUCUCUCCCUCUCAGUAGGAAGCAAGAUAAUGGCAUGACGAGCUAGGUCCAUAAAACGGGUCUCAAACUGCCUGUGGUACUCUUCUCUCAGGGUGACAAGGAGGAACUUUUCUAGAAAUAGCUGUGAGAACUGAUCCCAAGUAACUGCAAGUUACCCAGCUGGUCUGGUCAACAUACAAUCUCUCCACCACCUUUUGGCGGAACCCGUCAUCUAAUACAAAACAAAAAUUUAACACAUUGAUCUCAACUAUACCCAUGUUCCACAGCACCUCAUGAUAGUAGUCAAGAUAAUCAUGUGGUUCCUUAGAAGGUGCACCACUGAAGUGAAUUGGGAAGAGCUUGGUAAACUUGUCCAAUCUCAAUAAAGUCUCAGAAGACACGGCGGGUCUGUCACCGACCUAUGCCGCAAUAACUAGUUGAACUACCCCAACUGGCGAAGUUGUUGGAGUCUGAUACUGGGAGACAUCUGCUCCGUAGUGUGAGUAGAGGGAGUUUGUGCUCCUCCCCCAGCCUGAGAGACGGCUGGUGCCACUGGGAAUGUACUGUCCUAGGCCACACUCUCUAUAAGGCCCACUAAAUGGACUAGAGCAUUCUAAAGCACUGGAGUGGCGAUGAACCCCUCCGGGACCUGAGCUUGUCAAACAGGUACAGUCUAAGCUGGAACCUCCUCAUCAAAAUCUACUUGAGGCUCCAUUGUUGGUGCUACUACUCGAGCUCUAGGCUGAGCUCUACCUCUGCAUCGGUCUCUAGUGCGACCUCGGCCUCGACCUCUGCCCCUAGAAAGAGAUGCCACUAGGGGAUCUAGCUGCUGUCCAGCUGUAGAUGCAGUACGUGUUCUCACCAUUUGUAAGAGAAAAAGAAUAGAAGAGUUCAAUCGUCAAUGAUAGAAUAAAAUCACAUGACAGAGAAGAAUAAAUGUGAAAUUGUUCUUAAACUCCAUAGAAUCUAGAAUAUAAUUAGAGACAUCUCUGUACCGAUCCUCCAAACUCUACUAAGCCUACUCAUGACUCGUGAGACCUAGGCAGCCUAGUGCAUUGAUAUCAACUCGUCACGACUCGGAAUUCCAACCUUCGGGAUCGUGAUGGGGCGUAAUAUUUCGCUCGCUAGGCAAGCCAACGUUAGAGUAAAUCUUAUGCCGUUUUAAAAAAUUCAAGUAAUUAAAACCAAUUAAACUGAAAUAAAAUUGGAAUACUAUGUGAAAAGGUAUAACAACCAAAAUAUCUAAGUACAAUCCCGUAGUUGGAGUCAUAAGUGUCACACCUAUUUUUUACCUACGCCCCCGUAAGGGGUAGUAAAAGAGUUUUUUCCAAUUUAAAGUGACAAUCAAAACGGGAUCAUUUUUUAUUGAAAUUUAGAGUCUCCACUUGGGAUAAUUAUUGGUGUCCCAAGUCACCGGUUCAAAUCCCGAAUCGAGAAAAAGAUUGACUCUGUAUCUGCGAACACAGAAACCCGGGUAAGGAAUUCUGUUAACCCGAGAGAAGGUGUUAGGCAUUCUCGAGUUCCGUGGUUCUAGCACGGUCGCUCAACUGCUAUUAUUGGCCUAUUAUCUGAUUUAAUACACUUUUAAACCUAUGUGCAUUUUAACUUUAAACCGUUUUUAAUUAAUUUUAGGAAGAUUCAACGUUUUUUAAAAUACGCCUUGAACCACGCCACAUGAAAUGCACCCGCGGUCCACGACAUAUUUUAUUUAACGUUGUUGAGAAUUGGAGUUGGGUCAUAUAAAAUCCACACCCGAAUUUAGGAAGGUAAUUUUAAAUUACGCGCCUAAAGCAACUACGCAUUUUCAACUUUGCAAGGGCCAUGGAAGUUCAACUAAAUGGCGUGCCUCGAUUUCGAAGGAUUCAAGUAUUAAUUAAAUGAGGGCCAUGCAUUUUGAGAUUUUUAUUCAGCACGGUACACCUCGAUUCCAUUUUUUAAAGGAAACUUGAACUAAAUUUCGGAGGGCCAUAAACUAUGUAUUGCCUAAUAUAGCACGCCUCCGAUCUGCUCAACUAAACGAAUUAAAGAUAUUCAUAUUUAAAGCUGUACUUUUACUUUCAACACCUUCCAAGAAAUAUAAUACAUUGCAGAACUUUUGACUAGGAUCGAUUGCAGAAGCGAUUUAUUAGAACCAAGAAUCCUCCUUAUAUGUGUAUGUAUACAAUAUUGAUUAUAGCAUGAAAUAGACAAGGUAACGUAUAACAAUUACAACAAGAUAUAAAAAAACUAUUUGUAAACUUGUCGUAUGAGAAGCAGAUUCAAACUUUCAAAAUGAACCAAAUACACUGCUGAAACCGACCCCAUUUGAUUAACAAAUUGUUCCAUUUAGAAAUGCAGAGAAUGCAAAUUGUUUCAUUUUAACAACUUUAAUCUGAAUAUUCAAAACUUUGAGAAUACAAAUUCAUUCAAACCAUAAACACUAAGAUAGAACACCACAAUUAUUGAAUUAAUUAAAUAAAGGUGGUAGAAAUGGACCUCAAUGUCUCAGAACCUCUAGAUGCGUUACAUGGCCGGAAAACAGAGUCUCAAAUGGAAACCAUUGGCAACGGCAAACAUGAACCUUGACUCAGCCAUGUCUCAAUCAAAUCCAUAUUUGAACACCGAAAUUCUGAAAUUGAAACUAACGGCGCAUAACAUUUUUCUAUAAAAUAGAAGCCCAAUUAACACAAAAACAUAAGCAACCUUUUUUAGUAUUUUUUUUAUUCUCAAUGAAAAUGGAAGAAUAGAAGAAGAAGAUUAAAGAGUUCUGAAACACCAAAUCCUCAUUGUCUUUUUCAAAAAAUGUGAUUAUCUUUUCCCCCCUCUACGUGUGUGUGUACGCCUGAAUCUACUUUUUGUUCAAGGGAGGGAGAUGGGGAUUAAACUAGGCUCUGUUUUUUGUCGAGCUGCUGGAGGAAGAAGAUGAAGAGAGCAGCAUCUAGUGUUCAAGGUUUUGGCGAGUUUUGGUUAGCGGGAAGAAGCAGAAACAACGAUGGUCAUGGAGAUGGAGUUUGGGUGCUAGGUUUUUUAUUGAAGGAGAAGUUGAUCAAUGAUGGGGGGUGGUCUGAUUCUUUUUGUUCUUGUGGCUGUUUCUUGGUUGAAGCUCAAGCCAUGGAAAACUUGUUGUUCUUCAAUGAAGAAGAAGACAACCGAGCAGUGGGGGGGGUCUCUAUGGUGUUAUGCGGCUGAAGGAUCUCUUUUUGUGUAUAGGCGUUCCCUCUCUGUAUAUUUUCGUGUGUGUAUAUUAUAUAGAAAGUGAAGGGAAAGGUCCCCCUACCCAAAACGUGAAUGAGAG
This 7628-nucleotide long non-coding RNA is filed under the name Nicotiana tabacum (common tobacco). RNAcentral's name for it is "long non-coding RNA (NTAB_LNC014278)". The record is from RNAcentral. Lineage: Eukaryota; Viridiplantae; Streptophyta; Magnoliopsida; Solanales; Solanaceae.